RNAcentral lists this ribosomal RNA (200 nucleotides) under uncultured eukaryote. RNAcentral describes it as "partial 18S ribosomal RNA". It matches the Rfam family "Eukaryotic small subunit ribosomal RNA", at positions 589 to 785 of the family's 1831-position model. The record is from RNAcentral.
CUCCAAUAGCGUAUACUAAAGUUGUUGCAGUUAAAAAGCUCGUAGUUGGAUUUCUGCUGUCGGUCCUGAGUCCUUCUCGCAAGAGUCGCGUACACUGGUCUCGGCGGCAUCCUCGAGAAGACCGCGUCUUGUAUUAAUUUGCCGGGCGUGCGUAUCUCUCGUCUUUUUACUGUGAGCAAACUAGAGUGUUCAAAGCAGCU